This 919-nucleotide ribosomal RNA is filed under the name uncultured bacterium. RNAcentral describes it as "bacterial SSU rRNA". It matches the Rfam family "Bacterial small subunit ribosomal RNA", at positions 1 to 916 of the family's 1533-position model. The record is from RNAcentral.
UAGAGUUUGAUCCUGGCUCAGGAUGAACGCUAGCUACAGGCUUAACACAUGCAAGUCGAGGGGAAACGAUAGAGAAAGCUUGCUUUUUCUAGGCGUCGACCGGCGCACGGGUGAGUAACGCGUAUCCAACCUGCCCACCACUUGGGGAUAACCUUGCGAAAGUAAGACUAAUACCCAAUGACGUCUCUAGAAGACAUCUGAAGGAGAUUAAAGAUUUAUCGGUGAUGGAUGGGGAUGCGUCUGAUUAGCUUGUUGGCGGGGUAACGGCCCACCAAGGCGACGAUCAGUAGGGGUUCUGAGAGGAAGGUCCCCCACAUUGGAACUGAGACACGGUCCAAACUCCUACGGGAGGCAGCAGUGAGGAAUAUUGGUCAAUGGGCGAGAGCCUGAACCAGCCAAGUAGCGUGCAGGAAGACGGCCCUAUGGGUUGUAAACUGCUUUUAUAAGGGAAUAAAGUGGGAGUCGUGACUCCUUUUGCAUGUACCUUAUGAAUAAGGACCGGCUAAUUCCGUGCCAGCAGCCGCGGUAAUACGGAAGGUCCGGGCGUUAUCCGGAUUUAUUGGGUUUAAAGGGAGCGUAGGCCGGAGAUUAAGCGUGUUGUGAAAUGUAGACGCUCAACGUCUGCACUGCAGCGCGAACUGGUUUCCUUGAGUACGCACAAAGUGGGCGGAAUUCGUGGUGUAGCGGUGAAAUGCUUAGAUAUCACGAAGAACUCCGAUUGCGAAGGCAGCUCACUGGAGCGCAACUGACGCUGAAGCUCGAAAGUGCGGGUAUCGAACAGGAUUAGAUACCCUGGUAGUCCGCACGGUAAACGAUGGAUGCCCGCUGUUGGUCUGAAUAGGUCAGCGGCCAAGCGAAAGCAUUAAGCAUCCCACCUGGGGAGUACGCCGGCAACGGUGAAACUCAAAGGAAUUGACGG